Molecule: ribosomal RNA, 2005 nt
Filed under: metagenome
Description: bacterial LSU rRNA
Rfam family: Bacterial large subunit ribosomal RNA
Source: RNAcentral
UCAAGCAUUAAGAGCGCAGGGUGGAUGCCUUGGCACUGAGAGCCGAUGAAGGACGUGAUAAGCUGCGAAAAGCUUCGGGGAGGAGCAAAUAUCCAUUGAUCCGGAGAUAUCCGAAUGGGGAAACCCACUUGAGCAAACCUCAAGUAUCCAUACGCCAAUCCAUAACGUAUGGAAGGGAACCGGGGGAACUGAAACAUCUAAGUACCCCGAGGAGAAGAAAGAAACCUCGAUUUCCAAAGUAGCGGCGAGCGAAAUGGAAAGAGCCCAAACCGUGGUGCGUGCACCGCGGGGUUGUGGACUGCAUAAGGUACUCGAAUCAAUAGCCGAACAGUUUUGGGAAAUCUGAUCAGAGAGGGUGAAAAUCCCGUAGGCGAAAUUGAUGAGAGGCUGGCAGGAUCCAGAGUACCACGAGACACGGGAAACCUUGUGGGAAGCAGGAGGGACCACCCUCCAAGGCUAAAUACUCCUCAGUGACCGAUAGCGCAUAGUACUGUGAAGGAAAGGUGAAAAGGACCCCGGGAGGGGAGUGAAAGAGAACCUGAAACCCUGUGUUUACAAGCUGUGGAAGUGCCUUAUGUGCACAACCGCGUACUUUUUGUAGAACGGUCCGGCGAGUUACGUUUACUGGCAAGGUUAAGUACUAUAGGUACGGAGCCGAAGGGAAACCAAGUCUUAAGAGGGCGUGAAGUCAGUAAGAGUAGACCCGAAACCGGGUGAUCUACCCAUGUCCAGGCUGAAGCUGCCGUAAGAGGUAGUGGAGGGCCGAACGCACAUCCGUUGAAAAGGGUGGCGAUGAGGUGUGGGUAGGGGAGAAAUUCCAAUCGAACCCGGAGAUAGCUGGUUCUCCUCGAAAUAGCUUUAGGGCUAGCCUCGAUGGAGUCUUACGGAGGUAGAGCACUGAAUUUCUAAGGGGGCGUCAAAGCUUACCAAGGGAUAUCAAACUCCGAAUGCCGUAAAGAUGCUCAUCGGGAGUCAGACUGCACGAGAUAAGUUGGGCAGUCAAAAGGGAAAGAGCCCAGACCUGCUGCUAAGGUCCCAAAGUACGUGUUAAGUGGAAAAGGAUGUGGGAUUUCGAAGACAACUAGGAUGUUGGCUCAGAAGCAGCCACACAUUCAAAGAGUGCGUAAUAGCUCACUAGUCGAGAGGUCCUGCGCCGAAAAUGUCCGGGGCUAAAACACAACACCGAAGCUUAGGAAUGUAAUUAUACAUUGGUAGAGGAGCAUUCUUAAAGAGACGAAGCAGUACCGAUAAGGAGCUGUGGAUUUUUAAGAAGAGAGAAUGCCGGAAUGAGUAGCGAGAUGGAGGUGGGAAUCCUCCAGGCCGAAUAUCUAAGGUUUCCAGAGUAAAGCUGAUCUGCUCUGGGUAAGUCGGGGCCUAAGGCGAGGUCGAAAGACGUAGUCGAUGGAUAACAGGUUGAAAUUCCUGUACUGCAUAUCAUCAGAACUGUGGGGACACAGAGAGAUACCGGAACCUGGGAAUGAAGAUACCAGGGCAAGCGAGGUAGGUGCUAAGCUGGCAAAACCGCUUAGUAAGCCGAAGACGUGAUGCGGAGCGAAUUAAAGUAGCGAAGUCCGGGAUUCGAGCUGUCGAGAAAAGCCGCUAUUGUGUGAUAUGUACCCGUACCGUAAACCGACACAGGUGGAUGAGGAGAGAAUCCUAAGGCCGGCGGGAGAAGCAUUGUUAAGGAACUCGGCAAAAUGACCCUGUAACUUCGGGAUAAAGGGUGCCACAGAGAUGUGGCCGCAGAGAAUAGGCUCAAGCAACUGUUUAGCAAAAACACAGGUCUAUGCGAAACCGAAAGGUGAGGUAUAUGGGCUGACGCCUGCCCGGUGCUGGAAGGUUACGAGGAGAGGUUAGAGCAAUCGAAGCUUUGAAUCUAAGCCCCAGUAAACGGCGGCCGUAACUAUAACGGUCCUAAGGUAGCGAAAUUCCUUGUCGGGUAAGUUCCGACCCGCACGAAAGGCGUAAUGAUUUGAGCGCUGUCUCGACAAUGCACCCGGUGAAA